This 769-nucleotide long non-coding RNA is filed under the name Apteryx haastii (Great spotted kiwi). RNAcentral's name for it is "lncRNA (ENSAHAG00000009158.1)". Lineage: Eukaryota; Metazoa; Chordata; Aves; Apterygiformes; Apterygidae. The record is from RNAcentral.
CGGCAGGGGCGGGGCCGGGCGGCGCGGUCACGCCCCUCCACCGCCUCCGCCAAUGGCGUGCCUCCCGCCCGCUGAUCGACAGGCCCGGCGGAGAGCCGGAAGGAGGGCGAGCGCCGAGCUCCUGGCGGCGAGGGACGCCUCGGAGGGGGCUGCCGGGGGAGCUACGCUCCUGGGGCUAUGGCCUUGAGCAGGAGGGAAGUAUUCAUAGGGAAAGUACUGAAACGACUCUUCGCUGAAACUUCAUCAUCUUCUGUUGUGCAUAUGAGUGGAGAAGAGGAGAUGGUUCUUGGAAACCUAGGCUCAAAAUCCAAAGAGAAGGAUUUGGAGAAUGUUCAGACUUUGUCAGCAGAUGCCAGUACAUCAGGUGAUACACACUGCAAAUCACUUCAAGAUAUACCCACAGAUUGGAGGCAGUGGGUGAUUCAGCACUUCUUCCUAUCCUCAUGUUACAACAGAAGCCCAGGUGCAUAUGUACAUAAGAGAAGGCAAGUAUAAUCAAUUCAGGCAGUAUGUUAGUACUAAAAAGCAUUAUUUUCAGCUUAUGUGGAUGGAAUUAAAGUAGCCUGUAAAUAUUUUGACAAGUAAGUAAAAGUCCUGCUUCAAAUGGGCUAUAAAAUGUGGAUGCUGUACCAAAAGAUGGCGUUUUAAAAUGGGUAACUGAUGAUAUUUCGUGAGUGAUAGGCUCAGCACUUAUGUGUAGAAUGAGCAUGAAUUGCUUCAUGUUGUAGUUCACCUAAAAUCAAGUUUUGCCUUUAACUGAAAAAGGUCA